Molecule: non-coding RNA, 70 nt
Organism: Gossypium hirsutum (cotton)
Lineage: Eukaryota; Viridiplantae; Streptophyta; Magnoliopsida; Malvales; Malvaceae
Source: Rfam
GGGUAUAUAACUUACGGGUAGAGUGUCAUCUUGAUAAGUUGGAAGUCAUCGGUUUGAGCCUGAUUACCCU